RNAcentral lists this ribosomal RNA (814 nucleotides) under uncultured bacterium. RNAcentral describes it as "bacterial SSU rRNA". It matches the Rfam family "Bacterial small subunit ribosomal RNA", at positions 8 to 796 of the family's 1533-position model. The record is from RNAcentral.
AGAGUUUGAUCAUGGCUCAGAGCGAACGUUAGCGGCGGGCUUAACACAUGCAAGUCGAACGAGAAUGAGGGGGCAACCCCUCUAGUAAAGUGGCGGACGGGUGCGUAACACGUGGAUAAUCUACCUUCCGGCGGGGGACAACAGUUCGAAAGGACUGCUAAUACCGCGUACGUCGGCGAGGGCUCAGGCCCUUGUCGAGAAAGAUGGCCUCUCCUUGGAAGCUGUCACCGGAAGAUGAAUCCGCGGCCCAUCAGGUAGUUGGUGAGGUAACGGCUCACCAAGCCAAAGACGGGUAGCUGGUCUGAGAGGAUGAUCAGCCACACUGGGACUGCGACACGGCCCAGACUCCUACGGGAGGCAGCAGUGGGGAAUAUUGGGCAAUGGGCGAAAGCCUGACCCAGCCACGCCGCGUGAGUGAUGAAGGCCUUCGGGUCGUAAAGCUCUGUGGGGAGGGACGAAAAAGCGCGUCUCCAAUAAAGGCGUGCCCUGACGGUACCUCCUUAGCAAGCACCGGCUAACCAUGUGCCAGCAGCCGCGGUAAUACAUGGGGUGCAAACGUUGCUCGGAAUUAUUGGGCGUAAAGCGCGCGUAGGCGGUUAUUUAAGUCGGAUGUGAAAGCCCUUGGCUUAACUGAGGAAGUGCAUCCGAGACUGAAUAGCUAGAGUACGAAAGAGGGUCGCGGAAUUCCCGGUGUAGAGGUGAAAUUCGUAGAUAUCGGGAGGAACACCGGCGGCGAAGGCGGCGACCUGGUUCGAGACUGACGCUGAGGCGCGAAAGCGUGGGGAGCAAACAGGAUUAGAUACCCUAGUAGUCC